This 464-nucleotide ribosomal RNA is filed under the name Balcis eburnea. RNAcentral describes it as "partial 16S ribosomal RNA". It matches the Rfam family "Bacterial large subunit ribosomal RNA", at positions 1819 to 2600 of the family's 2925-position model. Lineage: Eukaryota; Metazoa; Mollusca; Gastropoda; Littorinimorpha; Eulimidae. The record is from RNAcentral.
GUCUCUUUGACCAUAUGAAGAGUCUAAUCUGCCCAGUGACUAGUUUCAACGGCCGCAGUAUCCUGACUGUGCUAAGGUAGCAUAAUAAUUUGCCCUAUAAUUGAGGGCUGGAAUGAAUGAUUGAAUGGGGUAGAGCUGUCUCUAUAAAAUCAUUUAGAAUUUAUUUUUUAUGUGAAGGCACAUAAAUUUAAUUAAGGGACGAGAAGACCCUAUCGAGCUUUAAAUUUAAAUAUUUUAUUAAUAUUAUAAUUUUUGAUUGGGGCAAUCCAAGAACAAAUAAAGUUUCUUGUAUUAAUUUAGAUCCAAUAUGAUUGCUAGCAGAUUUAGUUACCGUAGGGAUAACAGCAUAAUUCUUUUUGAGAGGCCUAAUCGAAAAAAGAGUUUGUGACCUCGAUGUUGGACUAAGAUACCUAUGGGUGCAGCUGUUUAUAAGGGUUGGUCUGUUCGACCAUUAAAAUCUUACA